This 60-nucleotide small RNA is filed under the name Salix viminalis (osier). Lineage: Eukaryota; Viridiplantae; Streptophyta; Magnoliopsida; Malpighiales; Salicaceae. The record is from RNAcentral.
AUGCCGCACUCGCCGACCUAAGAGGCGGGAGGGCGAAUGCUGUCAGCCCCGUGUGUCACA